AGUGAACGCUGGCGGUAGGCCUAACACAUGCAAGUCGAACGGCAGCACAGUAAGAGCUUGCUCUUACGGGUGGCGAGUGGCGGACGGGUGAGGAAUACAUCGGAAUCUACUUUUUCGUGGGGGAUAACGUAGGGAAACUUACGCUAAUACCGCAUACGACCUACGGGUGAAAGCAGGGGAUCUUCGGACCUUGCGCGAUUGAAUGAGCCGAUGUCGGAUUAGCUAGUUGGCGGGGUAAAGGCCCACCAAGGCGACGAUCCGUAGCUGGUCUGAGAGGAUGAUCAGCCACACUGGAACUGAGACACAGUCCAGACUCCUACGGGAGGCAGCAGUGGGGAAUAUUGGACAAUGGGCGCAAGCCUGAACCAGCCAUACCGCGUGGGUGAAGAAGGCCUUCGGGUUGUAAAGCCCUUUUGUUGGGAAAGAAAAGCAGCAGGUUAAUACCCCGCUGUUCUGACGGUACCCAAAGAAUAAGCACCGGCUAACUUCGUG
RNAcentral lists this ribosomal RNA (492 nucleotides) under uncultured bacterium. Its description in RNAcentral is "partial 16S ribosomal RNA". It matches the Rfam family "Bacterial small subunit ribosomal RNA", at positions 29 to 507 of the family's 1533-position model. The record is from RNAcentral.